GCACUCCUUGCAUAAGCACAAGCCCCGCUGACGUCAAUGGGAGUUUUGCCGGGGCGAGGGCUGCUCGCCUUGGCCCGCUGCUGUAAACACGUUGGGACUUUCUCUUUUAAUGGAUGGUAUUUAGAUUCUAUGUGGGGCUUGUUUAACAUGCGCGUUUUCCAGAGUCCUCAAACAUCGCGGGGAACGAAAGACAAAUUGUCUUUUUGUCAGAGCAGCGUGGAGGGCAGGAGAGAAGCACUGAGCUAUCACAGCUAGUUUUUUUUUACCUUCUACUCCCUGCUCCCUGCUUCCCCCCUCUUACUGGGAGAUCAAUAACAGCAAAAGACAGAAGGUGUCAUGGGACAGGAUUUCCAACAAGUAGAAGUGGAAUUAAUAAGAAUAGCAUACUUCAGAUAAAUUGUAUUUAUUUUCCGUGUAAGUUUCAGAGCUUAAAUACAGUUGUCUGUUCCUAAAUUUGGGGAGAAAGAGGGUGAGCACCCUGUUUAUCUCCUCUUCAUCACUGGGCUUCUUACUGCCAACCACCCCAAUGAUGCAGGUAGGGUAUAUAAGCCUUGGUGUGUGCAUGUCUAUGUAUGCUAUAAAACAAAUCCAAAACCACACAUUGCUUUUGAUCUGAGCCAUCUUUCCAUCAAUAUCCUAUUUCUUGCCACAGAUAAAUGCUGCAGUGCCAGGUAGCAUAGGCUCUGCUCCACCCAAUAAUUUUCUAUAUCCUCCCCAGUUAUUGCCACCCCCUCCCCUGCAGGUAUUAACAUUUUGCAAUUAACUCUCUCUGGCAUAUUUAGAAAUGUGAAGUUUGGGGUAUUUGGUUCCUGAGUUCUGGUUGUUCCCCUCUUUGUGUCCUCCAACCAGGAUGGAGAAAUGAGUCUUCUUCUGCACACACAGUCCUUGAGCAUCAUCAGACCAGCAGCACAGCAGCUACUGGGCCUGCAGUUUCAUACCUGUAAAGUAACCUGCCUGUCUCCGAGAGAGGAUCAGUUGGGGUUGUUUUCCGAAGAAGCCUGUAGGUAGAGGCAUCCAUACAUUCACAUAGGAGGAUUCAUAGAGGCAGGGACAAGAAGAUAAAGGUAUUAUUUUGACAUGAUGAGCCCUGCUUGGAAAAUGCCUUCGACUCAUCUGAAGUUGUUGCCACUUUUGCUGCCUUUGCCACGGAGAACCCAAGUAAUUCUCAAGUCCUUUUGAAAUAUUUUCUCAUUUGCACUGAAUUUCUGAGGGCAAACCAACUGAUAGACAUGGACCUAAGAAAUAUUUAUCAUCAUUGAGUAAGGUUUUCUUUUGACUAAAUCUGAGGCAAUUAGUACCUGAAUAAACACAGACUAAGUAAUCUACCUCCUCAAAAGGUAAUUAGACUUGAAAAGGGCUGUUUGGCUCUACCCAAGGAAAGCACAGCUUGAUUAAAAUGCUUUGGAGAUUCGCUUUCAUUUUUGUUCCCUUUUGCCCUGGAAAACAUUUUAUAAAAUCCAUAAGACUUUUAAUUUCUCCCCGUGCCAAACCCAAGGCCACUGCUGGUUGUUGCUGCCCUCUUCCCCCACCUUCCCUAAAUCUUCAACCCCGCUUCUCAUUUUUCUUUGCCUCUAAUCUAAUCUCUAAUUCCUUGGCUUGGCCAAAUAGUUAAAAAUGUUAAGUGCUGCUCACAAUUCCUGCUGCCUCCCCCUCGUAUCUGUCUCUGUUUAUGGAACAGGCCCUGGUUUCCUCCUGCUCUUGUUCAGCUGUAGGUCUGCAGGUCAGGAGACUGUAAAUACACACAGUGCUGCCCCAACCCAUAAAUCUGAGCAAAGGGCAGCCUUAUAUAUUCAGAUAAGGGAUGCAAUGGGAAAGGGGGAAAAGAAAAAAAAUAAAAGAAGAGAACCAGCAGAGUCUGUGGUGAAGGAGAUGCUUUUGCUAGAUCCCAACCCCAAGGUGCACACCCUGCUACCUCGCGGGAUGUUCCAGCCAGAGAUGAAUCAGAAAUGUUCUCCCUUCUUCCCACCCCUUCUUGUUUAUAUAUAAAUCAUUACAAAAUGCAUUUUAUUACCUUUGGGGCAAAGAAAUUAAACAAGAUAUUUUGAUGGCUUUCUCUCCUCCAGACCUUUGUUGGUCUAUUUUCUCCCCCCUCCCCGCCCCGUUUUAUUUCCUGCACCUCCGAAGCUUUCAAGGGAACAGUCCCCCUGUUAUUGCUUCUCAGUUCCAAGGUCUUAGAAUAAAUAACAUUGUUAUUACUCACUUCACCAAUUUCCAAGAAGAAAUAUUGCUGCAGCAAAUGCGAGCAGCACUAAUAUUUGCAAAGUGAUAAAUGGAUUGUUACAUACCUUCCCGUCUGUGUGGCCUCCAGCCAUCCUCCGGCCGGCUACAUCACUCCUCAGGGUGGGAGGGAGGCUGCCUUUGAACUUAGCGGGGUCCAGACACUUAGUGCCUUGCACCAGAGCCUGCCCCCAGCCCCCUCCCUUGCUCUCUGGAGAGAUAUUUUUUAAUGGACCACGCCAGAGACGGUACCGGGACUGGGGGAGAGCAGAAGUCACGUACUGGGACCAAGCAGCCAGGUGAAGGUGCUUUUGGCACACUGCUUUGGUGGGUUUUGUUAGUGUUGGGUGCUGCAGGGAGAGGGGUGUGAGGUUUGGGACAUCCCCACAGCACAACACCGCCCCACUGCCUUCCCCAGCUGGCACGGCUGCCCUGGUCCAGGGUACUCCAUCCCUGGUGUCACAAGAGCCAUGUGUCCUUCUCUGGCUGCCAUGGAUGUGAAAACUGGACAGAAAAAGUCUUGCAGGGGAGAAAAAAUUGUUUUGCAGAUUCCCCCUACUCUGCCCCCAAAACAUGCCCCCGUGACUAAAUGGGAAU
This is a long non-coding RNA of Pseudopipra pipra, 2814 nucleotides long. RefSeq lists it as uncharacterized. NCBI's taxonomy places the organism in Eukaryota, Metazoa, Chordata, Aves, Passeriformes, Pipridae. The transcript has 3 exons. The record is from RefSeq and is a predicted model, not a curated record.